Podarcis muralis (Common wall lizard) is the source of this 369-nucleotide long non-coding RNA. RefSeq lists it as uncharacterized. NCBI's taxonomy places the organism in Eukaryota, Metazoa, Chordata, Lepidosauria, Squamata, Lacertidae. The record is from RefSeq and is a predicted model, not a curated record.
AGCGUGAGUCAGUGCCCUGAGGGAAUAAUGAGGAAUUCAUUGCUGUUGCUACAAAGAAUGAAGUAGGAGAAACAAUGCACAUUUUCUCCUCAGAAUGAGAGGAACAAAUAGACAAGAAGAGUACCAGACUUGAGGAUCAUGGAAUUGCAGUGGUAGCUAAUUUGUAGUAGCUAAUUUGAAAAUGAGAUCAGGGACUGCCUUCUGACUAGCGUGGAGUGGACCAGAAUGAGAUACCCACAUAAAGAAUGGAGUGAUCUUCCAUUUUACCUGAAAGUCAGAAAAUUCAACUUCUCCAAAUGUCCAAUUUCUCCAGGUGUAUACGCCCUAUCAUGCAGCUGAUCCACAGGUAAUGGAGACAAUUUACAAUAC